UGCUAUGGAGGAUAAUUAGUGGCAGACGGGUGAGUAAUGCAUAGGAAUCUACCUAGUAGUAUGGGAUAGCCACUAGAAAUGGUGGGUAAUACUGUAUAAUCCCUGCGGGGGAAAGAUUUAUCGCUAUUAGAUGAGCCUAUGUUAGAUUAGCUAGUUGGUAGGGUAAAGGCCUACCAAGGCGAUGAUCUAUAGCUGGUCUGAGAGGAUGAUCAGCCACACUGGAACUGAGAUACGGUCCAGACUCCUACGGGAGGCAGCAGUGGGGAAUAUUGGACAAUGGGCGCAAGCCUGAUCCAGCUAUGCCGCGUGAGUGAGGAAGGCCUUAGGGUUGUAAAACUCUUUCAGUAGGGAAGAUAAUGACGGUACCUACAGAAGAAGUCCCGGCAAACUCC
Molecule: ribosomal RNA, 392 nt
Filed under: Anaplasma phagocytophilum
Lineage: Bacteria; Pseudomonadati; Pseudomonadota; Alphaproteobacteria; Rickettsiales; Anaplasmataceae
Description: bacterial SSU rRNA
Rfam family: Bacterial small subunit ribosomal RNA
Source: RNAcentral